RNAcentral lists this long non-coding RNA (303 nucleotides) under Ananas comosus (pineapple). RNAcentral describes it as "long non-coding RNA (ACOM_LNC036518)". Lineage: Eukaryota; Viridiplantae; Streptophyta; Magnoliopsida; Poales; Bromeliaceae. The record is from RNAcentral.
CAGGAAUAUUCAAGACUUCAAGACUCCAUGUCUAAGUCAUAGAGUCUGUAUUAAGGUGUGAAAAAUGUAAUUUUUGUUUAUUGGAUCGAUCAUGCAGGAGUUUGUCGUUUGGUGAUUGCGAUGAUCUUCUUUUUAUUGUUUCUAAGUUGUGUACGAGCUUUGUAAUGUUCUUUUGUCACGAAAUCGCCAAAGGGGGAGAUUGUUAAGGAUUUUAUAGGUUGGCGGAUUUCGUAAUGUUGAAUGGAGUCUUGAAGAAUUGAUCGCGGUUGUUUGAAGAAAAUAUUCAAAUUGGAGAACAAAGAC